This 467-nucleotide ribosomal RNA is filed under the name uncultured bacterium. RNAcentral describes it as "bacterial SSU rRNA". It matches the Rfam family "Bacterial small subunit ribosomal RNA", at positions 337 to 796 of the family's 1533-position model. The record is from RNAcentral.
UCCUACGGAGGCAGCAGUGGGGAAUAUUGGACAAUGGGGGGAACCCUGAUCCAGCCAUGCCGCGUGUGUGAAGAAGGCCUUUUGGUUGUAAAGCACUUUAAGCGAGGAGGAGGCUACCGAGAUUAAUACUCUUGGAUAGUGGACGUUACUCGCAGAAUAAGCACCGGCUAACUCUGUGCCAGCAGCCGCGGUAAUACAGAGGGUGCGAGCGUUAAUCGGAUUUACUGGGCGUAAAGCGUACGUAGGUGGUCUUUUAAGUCGGAUGUGAAAUCCCUGAGCUUAACUUAGGAAUUGCAUUCGAUACUGGGAGACUAGAGUAUGGGAGAGGAUGGUAGAAUUCCAGGUGUAGCGGUGAAAUGCGUAGAGAUCUGGAGGAAUACCGAUGGCGAAGGCAGCCAUCUGGCCUAAUACUGACACUGAGGUACGAAAGCAUGGGGAGCAAACAGGAUUAGAUACCCUGGUAGUCC